This 699-nucleotide ribosomal RNA is filed under the name uncultured Alphaproteobacteria bacterium. RNAcentral's name for it is "bacterial SSU rRNA". It matches the Rfam family "Bacterial small subunit ribosomal RNA", at positions 26 to 771 of the family's 1533-position model. Lineage: Bacteria; Pseudomonadati; Pseudomonadota; Alphaproteobacteria. The record is from RNAcentral.
AGAACGAACGCUGGCGGCAUGCCUAACACAUGCAAGUCGAACGAAGUCUUCGGACUUAGUGGCGCACGGGUGCGUAACGCGUGGGAAUCUGCCCUUGGGUACGGAAUAACUCAGAGAAAUUUGUGCUAAUACCGUAUAAUGUCUUCGGACCAAAGAUUUAUCGCCCAAGGAUGAGCCCGCGUAGGAUUAGCUAGUUGGUGAGGUAAAAGCUCACCAAGGCGACGAUCCUUAGCUGGUCUGAGAGGAUGAUCAGCCACACUGGGACUGAGACACGGCCCAGACUCCUACGGGAGGCAGCAGUGGGGAAUAUUGGACAAUGGGCGAAAGCCUGAUCCAGCAAUGCCGCGUGAGUGAUGAAGGCCUUAGGGUUGUAAAGCUCUUUUACCCGGGAUGAUAAUGACAGUGCCGGGAGAAUAAGCUCCGGCUAACUCCGUGCCAGCAGCCGCGGUAAUACGGAGGGAGCUAGCGUUGUUCGGAAUUACUGGGCGUAAAGCGCGCGUAGGCGGUUUUUUAAGUCAGAGGUGAAAGCCCAGUGCUCAACACUGGAACUGCCUUUGAAACUGGAAAACUUGAAUCUUGGAGAGGUCAGUGGAAUUCCGAGUGUAGAGGUGAAAUUCGUAGAUAUUCGGAAGAACACCAGUGGCGAAGGCGACUGACUGGACAAGUAUUGACGCUGAGGUGCGAAAGCGUGGGGAGCAA